Molecule: long non-coding RNA, 1449 nt
Organism: Oncorhynchus keta (chum salmon)
Lineage: Eukaryota; Metazoa; Chordata; Actinopteri; Salmoniformes; Salmonidae
Exons: 3
Source: RefSeq, a predicted model, not a curated record
CUCUGAUGCCACGCCACUUCUCAAUAUCUUUAAACUUGAUGCGCACCGAGUUUGCGUUAUUAGUACAAAUAAACAUAACUGUUUAUAUUAGCUAUUUUACGGUGAGAACGCGAGAGCUACGCCCUGAAGAUCACUGACGUCAUCAUGAUUCAACCGUAUUUUUUUCUGAGUUCCCAGUUGUCUUGGAAGCACAAUAAAUCCAGAGAAUGCCUGAUUUUGAUGACAACAUUUGAUGACAAAACACGCCACCUUCCUGUUCAAGUGAGUACAGCGCAACAAGCUAGUUCCAGUUCCAGAAGUGAAAAGAAGAGCGACCCAGGGAUGUGCGUGCUUGGGGACCUUUAACAGAAUGUGACCGGCAGAACGGGUGUUGUAUGUGGAGGAUGUAUGCUUUUUGGUUCCCGCCAUGAGCCAGUGAACAUUUGGGCCUUUUUAGCUAACUACUCGCUGUUAUUAAUUAUGUAAAAACACAAUAUCAGUCAUGGAAGCACAUGAACAUAUUUUUUUAAAUUAAUUAUUGAGCAAUUCAUUUCAUGAGUGACGGACUGUGAAACUUAAUCUCCCAUGAUUCCGUAGUACCGGAAUUGACACAAACAGACAGUCAUAACAUGUGCUAGGGGGUACAACUAAUGACAGAUUAUACAAAGGCCUUGUUUUAACAGGUUUCUUAAUGGAAGAAUGUAGUAUGGUCUUAAUGUACAGCUCAAACUCCUUAUAGAAAACAAGGAGAGUGUUUUUGUUAUUAGUGAAUUUACAUUUAUGAAUAAUACCUUUUUUUUUCCAUUAGCACAAUUAGAUUUAAGAGGUAAAAUUUGUUUUCUUUGUCCUUAUUGCAGUUGCCCUUAUUAUAGUUAAGGAAACCUAGCAGCAUAUUCUCACAUAAUAAACUAAAGUCAUCAAGAAUAUUAACAAUUAUAAAACUAUAAAUAUCUUGCCACCUUUGCUUUCCAUGUAGACAAUGCCAAAAUAAAUGUAAAACUGUUUCUGUUUGCUCAACACAAAAACUACAGUUAAUAUGCUAUUGUAUUUUUUUGAGUUUCUUCAGAUAAUGAUUUGCAGCGUACGGUAACUGACCGUGUUGUGUUUGUUCUUAGUAUCCGUCAGUGGUUGUGUUGAUACCUCACCCAACUUAAAAUAAGAAAUUACUCUGCAUAUAAUACAUAACAUAUAAUAAACGGAAGAAACUAUUUAGCAUUUUAAUUAGAUCUUCGAUGGUGUAGUUAGUUCAUGUAUUGCCUGUAUGUGACCCAUAGAAAUAUUAAUCAUAUUUCUAUGGGACAAUACAGGCCAUAAAUAAGCUAGCUACGCUGGUGUCUGCACAUGUUAAACUGUAAUUCUCUUUUUGCUGUCUGUAUACCAAUUGUGUACAUGUGAAUAUUCAAAUACACUUCAUAAAAAGUAAUGCCAGCAUUACUCACCUGUGAUUUAAUUAAUUAAAACAGAUCGAUA